RNAcentral lists this ribosomal RNA (1230 nucleotides) under Streptomyces sp. RNAcentral's name for it is "bacterial SSU rRNA". It matches the Rfam family "Bacterial small subunit ribosomal RNA", at positions 250 to 1506 of the family's 1533-position model. The record is from RNAcentral. Lineage: Bacteria; Bacillati; Actinomycetota; Actinomycetes; Kitasatosporales; Streptomycetaceae.
UGGGAGAGUAACGGCUCACACAAGGCACACGUAGCGGCUUGAAGGCACGUCACACCUGGACUGAGACCGUAGACUCCUACGGGAGGCAGCAGUGGGAAUAUUGCACAAUGGCGAAAGCUGAUGCAGCGACGCGCGUGAGGGAUGACGCUCGGGUGUAAACUCUUUCAGCAGGGAGAAGCGAAAGUGACGUACUGCAGAAGAAGCGCCGGCUAACUACGUGCCAGCAGCCGCGGUAAUACGUAGGGCGCGAGCGUGUCCGGAAUUAUUGGGCGUAAAGAGCUCGUAGGCGGUCUGUCGCGUCGGAUGUGAAAGCCCGGGGCUUAACCCCGGGUCUGCAUUCGAUACGGGCAGACUAGAGUGUGGUAGGGGAGAUCGGAAUUCCUGGUGUAGCGGUGAAAUGCGCAGAUAUCAGGAGGAACACCGGUGGCGAAGGCGGAUCUCUGGGCCAUUACUGACGCUGAGGAGCGAAAGCGUGGGGAGCGAACAGGAUUAGAUACCCUGGUAGUCCACGCCGUAAACGGUGGGAACUAGGUGUUGGCGACAUUCCACGUCGUCGGUGCCGCAGCUAACGCAUUAAGUUCCCCGCCUGGGGAGUACGGCCGCAAGGCUAAAACUCAAAGGAAUUGACGGGGGCCCGCACAAGCAGCGGAGCAUGUGGCUUAAUUCGACGCAACGCGAAGAACCUUACCAAGGCUUGACAUACACCGGAAACGGCCAGAGAUGGUCGCCCCCUUGUGGUCGGUGUACAGGUGGUGCAUGGCUGUCGUCAGCUCGUGUCGUGAGAUGUUGGGUUAAGUCCCGCAACGAGCGCAACCCUUGUUCUGUGUUGCCAGCAUGCCCUUCGGGGUGAUGGGGACUCACAGGAGACUGCCGGGGUCAACUCGGAGGAAGGUGGGGACGACGUCAAGUCAUCAUGCCCCUUAUGUCUUGGGCUGCACACGUGCUACAAUGGCAGGUACAAUGAGCUGCGAAGCCGUGAGGCGGAGCGAAUCUCAAAAAGCCUGUCUCAGUUCGGAUUGGGGUCUGCAACUCGACCCCAUGAAGUCGGAGUUGCUAGUAAUCGCAGAUCAGCAUUGCUGCGGUGAAUACGUUCCCGGGCCUUGUACACACCGCCCGUCACGUCACGAAAGUCGGUAACACCCGAAGCCGGUGGCCCAACCCCUUGUGGGAGGGAGCUGUCGAAGGUGGGACUGGCGAUUGGGACGAAGUCGUAACAAGAGCUACCAUCGG